RNAcentral lists this unclassified non-coding RNA (353 nucleotides) under soil metagenome. RNAcentral describes it as "partial contains 5.8S ribosomal RNA, internal transcribed spacer 2, and large subunit ribosomal RNA". The stretch from base 1 to 120 matches the Rfam family "5.8S ribosomal RNA", at positions 35 to 154 of the family's 154-position model. The record is from RNAcentral.
GAUGAAGAACGCAGCGAAAUGCGAUAAGUAAUGUGAAUUGCAGAAUUCAGUGAAUCAUCGAAUCUUUGAACGCACAUUGCGCCCGCCAGUAUUCUGGCGGGCAUGCCUGUUCGAGCGUCAUUACAACCCUCAGGCCCCCGGGCCUGGCGUUGGGGAUCGGCGGAAGCCCCCUGCGGGCACAACGCCGUCCCCCAAAUACAAUGGCGGUCCCGCCGCAGCUUCCAUUGCGUAGUAGCUAACACCUCGCAACUGGAGAGCGGCGCGGCCACGCCGUAAAACACCCAACUUCUGAAUGUUGACCUCGAAUCAGGUAGGAAUACCCGCUGAACUUAAGCAUAUCAAUAAGCGGAGGA